UGGGGAAUAUUGGGCAAUGGGGGAAACCCUGACCCAGCAACGCCGCGUGAGGGAAGAAGGCUUUCGGGUUGUAAACCUCUGUCCUUGGGGACGAAACAAAUGACGGUACCCAAGGAGGAAGCUCCGGCUAACUACGUGCCAGCAGCCGCGGUAAUACGUAGGGAGCAAGCGUUGUCCGGAAUUACUGGGCGUAAAGGGUGCGUAGGCGGCCCAUUAAGUCAGAUGUGAAAUACCCGUGCUUAACAUGGGGGGUACAUCUGAAACUGGUGGGCUUGAGUGCAGGAGAGGAAAGCGGAAUUCCUAGUGUAGCGGUGAAAUGCGUAGAUAUUAGGAGGAACACCAGUGGCGAAGGCGGCUUUCUGGACUGUAACUGACGCUGAAGCGCGAAAGCGUGGGGAGCAAACA
Molecule: ribosomal RNA, 405 nt
Filed under: uncultured prokaryote
Description: bacterial SSU rRNA
Rfam family: Bacterial small subunit ribosomal RNA
Source: RNAcentral